GAUGAACGCUGGCGGCGUGCCUAAUACAUGCAAGUCGAGCGAACAGACGAGGAGCUUGCUCCUCUGACGUUAGCGGCGGACGGGUGAGUAACAAGUGGAUAACCUACCUAUAAGACUGGGAUAACUUCGGGAAACCGGAGCUAAUACCGGAUAAUAUAUUGAACCGCAUGGUUCAAUAGUGAAAGACGGUUUUGCUGUCACUUAUAGAUGGAUCCGCGCCGCAUUAGCUAGUUGGUAAGGUAACGGCUUACCAAGGCGACGAUGCGUAGCCGACCUGAGAGGGUGAUCGGCCACACUGGAACUGAGACACGGUCCAGACUCCUACGGGAGGCAGCAGUAGGGAAUCUUCCGCAAUGGGCGAAAGCCUGACGGAGCAACGCCGCGUGAGUGAUGAAGGUCUUCGGAUCGUAAAACUCUGUUAUUAGGGAAGAACAAAUGUGUAAGUAACUAUGCACGUCUUGACGGUACCUAAUCAGAAAGCCACGGCUAACUACGU
Molecule: ribosomal RNA, 496 nt
Filed under: uncultured bacterium
Lineage: Bacteria
Description: partial 16S ribosomal RNA
Rfam family: Bacterial small subunit ribosomal RNA
Source: RNAcentral